This 243-nucleotide long non-coding RNA is filed under the name Mytilus galloprovincialis (Mediterranean mussel). The record is from RNAcentral. Lineage: Eukaryota; Metazoa; Mollusca; Bivalvia; Mytilida; Mytilidae.
UUUCACGGUGGGUAUGGUUGUCCUGCGAGAGAACGUUCUGUGCUGGUGAUUCGGUCCUGACGGGUGCUGGUGAUCAAUGAAAAAAUGUAAACAAAGACGAAAAUGAUGAUUUUUCACAUUUUCACUCAUAAAAAAUGGGAGAAAACAGUUGAGAUUUUUAAAUUUUGUUUCUUAUGGAUUCAUAUAUAAACCAUUAAAAAGUUGACCAUCUACACUGUUUCAGUAAGCGUAACACAAAAAUGC